RNAcentral lists this transfer RNA (71 nucleotides) under Camelus bactrianus (Bactrian camel). It matches the Rfam family "tRNA". From Rfam's summary of the family: Transfer RNA (tRNA) molecules are approximately 80 nucleotides in length. Their secondary structure includes four short double-helical elements and three loops (D, anti-codon, and T loops). RNAcentral also lists the same sequence under 2 other names. Lineage: Eukaryota; Metazoa; Chordata; Mammalia; Artiodactyla; Camelidae. The record is from Rfam by way of RNAcentral.
GAGGGUGUUGCUCAGUGGUAGAGUGCCUGCCUAUCACGCAUGAGGUCAUGGGUUCAAUCCCCUUACCUCCA